CAUCUUCUGGCCUGCGCACUCCUACACACAUGUGACGUGCCCUGCCACACACACAAAAGAGCAGGAUGGAGCAACAGAUUUCUCUUCUUUGUCUCUUGUAUAAUAUUUAUUUGAAGUGCUGUGGAUUGAAACCAGGACCUAGGGCAUUUUGGGUAAACACUGAAACACUAAACUAAAUACCUCACCCCAAUAUCUUUAUUUUUUUUAAUUUAUCCUUUGUUAAUGUUUGAAUAUGGUUAAACAUUUCAUUUAACCUAAGAGAUAGCUAGAUAUUAUAAAUAUGAGGAAAAAAGUAUACUUCACAAAACUUAAAUGAUUAAAAGUAAAUAUUGUUGGCUACUAUUUUUCUAAGCUUUUGUAUAUGUGCAUGUGUGUGUAUGUAUGAGAGACAGAGAGAGAAAGAGACAGACAGACAGAUGGACAGACAGACAGACAGAGCACAAAAAAACUUUACUUAACAUUUUUUUUCUAGCAAACACACUGAGAUCCCUAAUUCAGCUGUAGUUUGGGCCCAAAUCAAAAAAGCAGAGAGGAAGGUGGUGGGCGGCGGAUAGGAACAUCAAAGGCUGUGAAGGUGACUGUGGGUAAAGUGUUCGCCAUUCCAGUGUAGGACUGAAAUCUGGAACCUAUGUAAUAGCCAGGCAGAAACAGCAGCUGCCUACAAUGCCCAAGACAGGGUAAAAAGACAGGACCCCUGGGGCAAACUGGCUGGGUAGACUACCUGCGACUGGUGAGCUCCUAGUGAAGAAACUCUGUCUCAAUAAAUAAAGCAGGGGAGCAAUCAAGGUGGACACUGACAUCAACCUAGGACCCUCACAUGCACACACACGUACACACACCAUGCACACGCGCACACGAAAUCCAAUAAAAACUUUAAGAGUAAAGAUGUAGGGACUCUAUAGAGAUGCUGAUUCUCUGGUAUUUGUGUGUUCUGCCACUAUGUGUUUUGUUCAUAUCACACAUGAGUUUGUCUUCUUUUAUUAAACCAUUUCCUAACAUUAAGAUGCUGUCUUAGAUGUAGAGGAUACAAAUCCCUCUUGGAUUAGAACCUGCUUCCCCAUUUCUGACAGUCAGAUGUAUUGUUCAUCAUUCAUAUUCAUCCAUCUGCUGUAAGAAACUGUAACACAGGCACAAAGACAAGCAUCAGCAGGCCACCAGCCACAGGACUGUCAGUGAAGGUCAGCAGGCCACCAGCCACAGGACUGUCAGUGAAGGUCAGCAGGCCACCAGCCACAGGACUGCCAGUGAAGGUCAGCAGGCCACCAGCCACAGGACUGUCAGUGAAGGUCAGCAGGCCACCAGCCACAGGACUGUCAGUGAAGAAGGAGCACAGGCCACCAGCCACAGAACUGUCAGUGAAGGUCAGCAGGCCGCCAGCCACAGGACUGCCAGUGAAGAAGGAGCACAGGCCACCAGCCACAGGACUGUCAGUGAAGGUCAGCAGGCCACAACGCCCUGCAGAGCUCUGCCCUAUCUCCAGGAAGCACCUGGACUCAAAGGGCUGGCUUCCAUACUGAGUGCAGGAAGCCAGAAACCAGCCUAGUGCUGCCCAGUGUUUCACAGUUUUUAAAUAUUCAUCAAAGAUUGAAUUUCAUUAUAUUGUUUAUCUAUUAUAAUUUUAGCGGCAGUUUCAAGUAGCCCAGGCGGGCUUCCCACCUCUCUGAGGCCAAGGGUGAUCCUGUGUUCCAAUCCUGCUGCUUCCCUUUCCCCAGUGCUCGAGUCACAGGCAUGGACCACCUGCCCAGUUUUAUGAGGUGUUAGGGGUUGGACCUAGGACUUCAUGCAUGCUCUAGACAGGCAUCCUACCAGGCAACUACAUCAGCAUUUUUAUGAGAAUCCUAACAUACCAAUCUUUUAUUUGAAAUGCAUUUUUCAAUGACAACUAAUUCAAAAACUUGUUGGGAACCCAACAUGCGUCUUCCCGAUGGAGAACAAUCCACUCGGGACCAGUUUUAGCUUGGGGACGGCUCGUGUGAGAGUCUGGGACGAGCUGUCUCUAAGGUCUCUUUCUACUUAAACAGUUUUAUGAUUUUCAUUAAGCCAUGCUGAAGUUUAAAUCACAGCGGCACAAAUCCAAUUAAAAUCACAGCUGCAAAUGCCAGAACAAAGUCUCCAAGUCACAUGUACCUCGACAAAAACAGGUCCUCAGUGAAGCCAUUCAUCGUGUUCAAUAAAGUAGCUGGUAGCACAAGCUAGGAAGAUCGUUAAAUCUAAAUCAGGAAAUGGAUACAUUUAGUCCUGGGUAUAACUCUCUUGAGACUGGGGGAAAACAGGCGUGUGAUGUCGGUUCUGCCAUUAUCGACUGGGAGUUGCUUUCUUUUUCUGAAAUGGAAAGAUCAUGUGGGUGCUGGUGACACAUAAUCUCACAUCCCAGAGAGGAAAGUGCAAGCCCUUCCAGGACUUCACUGAGUCCUGUCAGAUCACAGUCCUAUGGCUUCCGCUGUGAUACCAUGCACAACUCUAACUGUGCUGUCUUCAGGUAUCUCAAAGCAUUCCCUGGGACCUAGCAAGAAAGUUCCAGAAAACAUG
This 2529-nucleotide long non-coding RNA is filed under the name Cricetulus griseus (Chinese hamster). RNAcentral's name for it is "lncRNA (ENSCGRG00015032648.1)". Lineage: Eukaryota; Metazoa; Chordata; Mammalia; Rodentia; Cricetidae. The record is from RNAcentral.